AUGAAGAAGAUGCUAUCAGAAGAAUUCAAAUUCAAAUUCAGAAGCCUUCAUGCUUUCGUCCUUGGGACCGUUUUUGCGUUUGAAAUUGCCAUUUGUGGCACCACCCUGCCUGGCGCGCGGCCAUGUGCCGCGCAGCCAGCCGUAUUCAUAUUCGAUCAUUCCGUGUUUCUGACACACACCAGCUCAUUCAUCUUCUUUCCGGGAAAGAAGAAAGGACGAAUGACAAGCGGAAAAAUCGCACCACUUCCGGAUUUUUUCAAAAAUUGCAACAAGUUUGGACUUCUUCCUUGUACAAGCCAGAAGGUCCCCAGUCCAUUUUUGGGGCUCAUUUGUUGUUUUUUUCAAAAAUUGAAAGUUCCCAGCCCAUUUGGUCAAGUUGUUCGUCUCAAUGAUAGAAGGGGAAAUUUCCUUCCGGCCGACGACGUCACGGCGGCUGGGCUACUGUGCCCUGAUAUGGAUAGAAAUUGA
RNAcentral lists this ribosomal RNA (468 nucleotides) under Triticum aestivum (bread wheat). RNAcentral describes it as "partial small subunit ribosomal RNA". The record is from RNAcentral. Lineage: Eukaryota; Viridiplantae; Streptophyta; Magnoliopsida; Poales; Poaceae.